This 409-nucleotide ribosomal RNA is filed under the name uncultured bacterium. Its description in RNAcentral is "bacterial SSU rRNA". It matches the Rfam family "Bacterial small subunit ribosomal RNA", at positions 354 to 777 of the family's 1533-position model. The record is from RNAcentral.
GUGGGGAAUAUUGCACAAUGGGGGAAACCCUGAUGCAGCAACGCCGCGUGAAGGAUGACGGUUUUCGGAUUGUAAACUUCUUUUCUUAGUGACGAAGACAGUGACGGUAGCUAAGGAAUAAGCAUCGGCUAACUACGUGCCAGCAGCCGCGGUAAUACGUAGGAUGCAAGCGUUAUCCGGAUUUACUGGGUGUAAAGGGAGCGCAGGCGGGACUGCAAGUUGGAUGUGAAAUACCGUGGCUUAACCACGGAACUGCAUCCAAAACUGUAGUUCUUGAGUGAAGUAGAGGCAAGCGGAAUUCCGAGUGUAGCGGUGAAAUGCGUAGAUAUUCGGAGGAACACCAGUGGCGAAGGCGGCUUGCUGGGCUUUAACUGACGCUGAGGCUCGAAAGUGUGGGGAGCAAACAGGA